This 1423-nucleotide long non-coding RNA is filed under the name Triticum aestivum (bread wheat). RNAcentral describes it as "long non-coding RNA (TAES_LNC020997)". The record is from RNAcentral. Lineage: Eukaryota; Viridiplantae; Streptophyta; Magnoliopsida; Poales; Poaceae.
CACAAACCUUUUUUGAGAAACAGGAAAAAAAUUGAAAAAUAAGAACAAUUCUCGAAAUUAUGAAACAUUAUUUCAAAACUUACAUUUUUCUAAAUCCCAUGAAUAUUUUUCGAAUUUGCAAACAAAAUUUGAAAACAUAAUCAUUUUUGAAUUCAUGAACAAAUUUGGAAAGCUAGAACAUUAUUUGAAAUUCCCAACAUUUUUAAAUUUGUGAACAAAUAAAAUUCCCAUACCUUUUUUUGGAUUUCGGUCAAAUUUUCAAACACAUGAAUAGUUUCUAAUUCAUGAACAAAAUUGAAAAUUGGAAACAUUUUCUGAAGUUUCCAAAUUUUUUUUGGAUUUGAGGAAUAUUUUCAAAUGAAUUCAUCUCAUUUUACAUGAAUUAUUAUUUAUGUAUAAAUAAAACCAGAUUUCUAGUUUUCUGAAACUAUUCAUGAGUUUAGGCCUUGUACAAUGCAAGAUGCUUGAAGAAAUAAACCAGACUUUCAUUUAGAACCGGUGCUUAUGUGUACAAGACAUACGCUUAAUUAGGCAUCUCUCCUAUAUAGAAAGGAUUGUACAAGGCCUUGAUGUGCUGCUUGACCUUGGGGGUUAUGGGUGAGUGAUUUUCUUCGUGCGGGACGCGGACAGUCGUCCAUGGUUUUCUUCCGACUUUUUAAGCGCCCGCGCGGGACGCGAGAUGCUCGAUGUACCACCACUUACGGUUUAAUACUAGAUAGAGGCACUUGAAGAAUGAAUUACAGCAGAACAUUUCUAAAAAAACUGACUUCCAAACAUCUACUAUUAGCAAGCAGUGCUCCAAGUUCUUUUGUUAUAAGGGCCACACGACCCACUUCAUUCGUGUGCCACGGACGUGCUCCGCAGUCCACAUCCUAAGGAUGUACAACGCCCAUCCCGCUCCUGCUGUACGGGCAUCUGAUGUGGUAUGGUAGAUCCAUGAGUCGGGGCUCUCGGUAAAAGUAGUUGCUUACAGGAGCACUCUUGUGCUUGUGCGGCCACCGGAGAACCCAGAGAAGAGGGGGCAAACAAAUUCGCCCAAGACUAACAAAAAAACAGCCGACUCCCAUAGAAAACCCUCAAAUGCUGCUUCUAUCUAACGCCCUAGGAGAAAACAGAGGGAUGAACUCAUGCAUAACUACAUGGGCUAGUUCGGUCUUAUCCAUAAGCAUGAUCAUCAAGCUGAACAAAAACAAGGUUCAGCAGGGCAUGCAUCUACAAAUCGUGGUGAAUUUCCACAGCCCUUGCCCGCAGAGCUGAAGUGUUGCCUGCAGAGCAUGCAUCUCGAGAUGGUUUCAAGCCUGUGAAAAUCAAACAUGCAAAAUAUUGUAAGUAGUCAUAGUAGAGGCAUUAUAUGGGAAAAGGAAUGGUAGAAGUUAGUUAAUUAAAGUUGCGACAUCGACUGAAAACCAAAGUUGCAUGGUGG